CAAUAGCGUAUAUUAAAGUUGUUGCAGUUAAAAAGCUCGUAGUUGGAUUUCGGAAUGGGCCCGUCGGUCCGCCGCAAGGUGAGUCACUGACUGGUUUGCUCUUCUUCGCAAAGACUGCGUGUGCUCUUCGCUGAGUGUGCGUAGGAUUUACGACGUUUACUUUGAAAAAAUUAGAGUGUUCAAAGCAGGCUUUAGCUUGAAUACAUGAGCAUGGAAUAAUGGAAUAGGACUUUGGUUCUAUUUUGUUGGUUUCUAGGACCGAAGUAAUGAUUAAGAGGGACAAUUGGGGGCAUCCGUAUUUCGUUGUCAGAGGUGAAAUUCUUGGAUUUACGAAAGACGAACAACUGCGAAAGCACUUGCCAAGAGUGUUUUCAUUAA
This 378-nucleotide ribosomal RNA is filed under the name uncultured eukaryote. Its description in RNAcentral is "partial 18S ribosomal RNA". It matches the Rfam family "Eukaryotic small subunit ribosomal RNA", at positions 592 to 976 of the family's 1831-position model. The record is from RNAcentral.